Orcinus orca (killer whale) is the source of this 5263-nucleotide long non-coding RNA. RefSeq lists it as uncharacterized. Lineage: Eukaryota; Metazoa; Chordata; Mammalia; Artiodactyla; Delphinidae. The record is from RefSeq and is a predicted model, not a curated record. The transcript has 2 exons.
CGAGGCGGCUCCGCGCAGCAGCCGCGCCAGCCUCAUGCUGAGCCCCGCCGGAGGAGCCGGAGCCCCCGGCGCCAGGUCGCCGCUCCGCGGCUCGUCCGGGUGGGGAGGAAACUGAAACCCAACGAGUUUCAGGAGCAGACCGUUGCCAAACAGUGGGACAAAAGUACGAAUGGUGAUCACUGCAGAGUGUGGCCCUAAAUAAUAGCACAACGACCGCCGUCCCAGGAGAAGAGAAUUGGCAGCCCAACUUGAAGCGUUAUCUACAGGCAUUCUCGGCCUGGGCAGCAGUGUAUUAAAAAAGGCUCCCUCCACUCCGAUUGCCCUUCUCUCUGUCCUCUUAGCGUCACAGUUUGGUUGCCCCAUCCUUUCCAGGUUUCUAAAUAUAAGACUAAAUGUAAUAUAAGACUAGAGAAUUUCUAAUUUUGAUUCAAUCCCUUAGAGUUGCAAAGGCUGAGUCACAGUGAAAAUUACCACUGUCCCUUCUCUCCACUGCUACUUCCCCAUAUUAUCGAACCACAGUGCUUUAUAUUGUCCUAGAUGCAACAAAAGUACUUUUCCAUGGGUGUGUAGUUUAUCAAUUUUAUUGUAUAAUUUAUUAUACAAUAAAAAGUUUAUAUGUAUAGAUACACAUAUAUACGUAUAUAUGUGUAUAUAUAUCCAGCAGUUACUGGUAUAGAAUAAUUCAUUUCUCCAUAUGGUCAGUUCUUGAGUUGUAUAAAGAAUGAGAUGAGGACUUCCCUGGUGGCACAGUGGUUAAGAAUCCGCCUGCCAAUGUAGGGGUCACGGGUUCAAUCCCUGGUCCGGGAAGAUCCCACAUGCCGCGGAGCAACUAAGCCCGUGCGCCACAACUACUGAGUCUGUGCUCUAGAGCCCACGAGCCACAACUACCGAAGCCAGUGCGCCUAGAGCCCACGCUGUGCAUCGAGAAAAGCCACCGCAACGAGCCCAUGCACCGCAACGAAGAAUAGCCCCCACUCUCCACAACUAGAGAAAGCCCGUACGCAGUAACAAAGACCCAACGCAGCCAUAAAUAAAUAAAUAAAUUUAUUUUUAAAAAAAGAAUGGGGCUUCCCUGGUGGUGCAGUGGUUGACAGUCCGCCUGCCGAUGCAGGGGACACGAGUUCGUGCCUCGGUCCGGGAAGAUCCCACAUGCCGCGGAGUGGCUGGGCCCGUGAGCCAUGGCCGCUGAGCCUGCGCGUCCGGAGCCUGUGCUCCGCAACGGGAGAGGCCACAGCGGUGAGAGGUCCACGUACCGCCAAAAAAAAAAAAAAAUAAGUAGGAUGGUCUGAGGCCUGGGGAAAGAUGAAUGGAGGUAAGGCGGUGAAGUAACCCGUGUUCUGCGCAUGCGCAACUGAGCUACGUGCUUUUUCAUGGGAUGCUUGUUCAGAAAAUGGAGGGGUUAGUGUGAUCUGAGGGUGGAGUGUUUUGGCCUUCUGAUGUCAAAAGGUCAUCUAUCCAACACUGCAGAAGGCCCAGUUGAAUAGUUGGCAGUCUCGACCAGUAUGAACUGGGCAAGACUAGCUCCAUGUUCCUGAAAAACAGCUUUUGAAACCGUUACUAUAGUGAUCCAUACGUCAGAGGUGUUACCUAUAGGGGGCGGUUAAAGGAGUCUUGUGAUGUAUUGUCUAAGCUAUGUGAAGCUUGAAGGGUGUGCAAUUUGUAGGAACAGUUAAGGCAGGUUUGAUCAGUGAAGGCAGGUUACAUAUGAUUAAGCAAGUUAUAGUUUAAGGGAUCUGUUGACUGCCCUUGCUUUCAUUAUCCCACAGGUUUAGCUUGAGGGAGAACAUUGACCACCUGGAAACAAGUGUAGGCAGUUGAGGGGAUGGGGUGGAAGCAGGAAACAUAUUUUCCCAAAGUGGUGCCUCUAAUAAUUCUUUCAGGUAUCUGUUAAAAUGGUGGUUGUUAUGAUUUUGGUGACAAUAUCUUAGAGGAAGCAGUAUGAACAUGAGUAUGAGAUAUGUAGAGAAAGUAAUCAGGGGGUGGUAUCUCUUUCAUAUGUUUGCUGCCCCAUCAGCCAUACUCUGUACCCUCCAAAUGUGGCCUUCCUUCAUCCAUUCUAUGAAUAUUUGUUGAAUGCCUAGGUACCAGGUCAUGUUCUAGGUGGCUGGGAAUAAAGCCAUGUGCAAUUCAGAUAGGAUCCCUUUCACAUAUGCCUGCUUUUACAAAGCAUAUAAUGCAAAGUCCAACAUGGUAGAAGAAUUUUACACGUUGUCUUCAAAUAUUAGCCUGCUCCGUAAAAGAAAGAUUAGGUUUGUUCUGAGUGGCCCAGGAAGCAGAUGGAAGACUUGUGGGUGGAAACUGUAGGGAGACAGAUCUGACUCACACAUGGAAAAACUUUGGUUACAGCCCUUUGACUGUGAAAUGGGCAACCUUAGAGGAGGAGGGGGUUCUUGUCAAUGACUGUUAGAGUCUGGAGGACAGCUUUCUAAGGACACUGUGGGGAGGAUGAUUAGGAAGCAAUGUGGUGCUAUGAAAAGAGACUGGAUUCUGGUGUCAAAUCCUGGCUCUUUCGUGAACUGGCUAUGUGGCCUUGGGUGAGUUACUUAACCUCUCUGAGCCUCAGCCUCCUUACCUAAAAAGGGGGUAUAAUAUCUGUCUCACUGGGGGUGACUGUAACAUAGAUAGUUUAGCCAUCUGUGUUAGCACAAUGCCCAGGACAUACUAAACACUCAAAUGCCCUCUAUUUUUUUUUUUUAUCAUUACUGGUGGUUUUUUAAAGUUAUUUCCUUAUUACGGUUUGAUCAGAACCACUCACAUACAUGUUUUGCAUGAAGCCAACUUUACCAAAGAUUUGGUAGAAAACAAUUUACAAUGGAAUAUUAGCCAUCCUUAAAAUAGUCCCUCAACUACUCUGUGAUUCUGCUGCAGCCUCCAGUCGUUUUGCCGUCCUCCUUCUCCCCUUCCUUCCAGAUCACUCCUUGAGCUCUAAAUUCUUCUCACACUAUCAUGCACAGUUUUAUUCAGCUUCCUCAGCCCUGAUUUGCAACUGUGCUGUUUUCCACCUGAGCAUGUCGAGGUGCUCAGCUGAACAUUAACUGUGUGAAAGCACAAAGGCCGGGCAGAAAGCUUGAGAUUUAUCAUAUCAAGGUUCUUUCACCCAGAAACCAAUCCAGCUUUUCUUUUCUCCAAAGUAUAUUCACCAAGCUUCCACCCAAUAUACAGAGAAUGAGUAUAUAAAAAUAGAUUUAAAAUUACAUCAACUUUUCACUUCUUGGUCAGAGGCUUAGGGUCCAGAAACUGGAGAGAACAUUAGAUUUUUUUCAGGUAUCUGUGAACAUGACGGUUGUUAAGACUAUAGUAAAAAUAUUUUAGAGGGAGCAAUAUAAGCAUAAGACUGUAAGAUACGGGAUCAAAGGUAGAAAGUGAUCAAAGGAUGGUAUCUCUUUUACGAACUUUUACCAAAGGGCUAUGUUAUUUAACUAUGUACAUAUAAAGUAUAACUGUAAUGUAAGGCUCUAUAAAAACCUUUAUAGCAGACUUGGGCGGGAUUCUCUAAAUUCACUGAGAUUUUAUGAUUCUUGUUGGACUGAUUUGACUGAAAAUCAUGGAAACAAGCUGGACUAUGUUCACCCUGUCUCCUUUACCCUCUGGCUUCAUGGGGCUCAGAGGACAAGAGGAAAGUUAUGACUAUUUAUUCUCCUGCCCCUUCCUGCUGGGCCAUUAUUUGCGUCCCUCUUAAGUGUGGCCACAGCUCCCUCCCCAUGCCCAGUGAGCCCUAGAGGUGGUACCAGUUUCCUUCUUCUGUUAAUUGGGGGUGCUUCACGAUCCCUUUCUCUUUACUCUGCCCACACCUCUGUAAAGAGUCCCUUCACACACUCUUCUGUUUCCCCUUUGGGUACACUACCAUUUCCUGUCCCAGAACCCUGAUGCUUUACAAAGGUAACUUUCAAACAAAAGAUAAAAAGCAUGACUUUCAUGCAACUACAAAAUGAACAAAUCAUCACAUUGUGUACGUUUAACAUCUUAUGAUUUUAUCAAUUAUACUUCAAUAAAGCUGAAAAAAUAAAAUGAACACACCCAAAUUUUAAUUAACACAUUCAUUAAAUGAGGGAAUCAGAAAAAGUAUUACAACCAGUUCAAAGGAGAAGCCAAAAAAUAGGAUUACAGAAACGAAUUUGUAGAGGGCUGUAAAACUGGCUUUUCCCCUUAGGAGUCUGGAACCCUCCACCUCCACCUCCACCAGACAGAACGUAUUUGCAUGGAUAUAGGCAAGAAUUAUUUGCAUUAUCAGUUACCUACAAUUUACAUAGUUAUAAAUAGCUCAAAGGCAGUGAGUCAGAAUCAGACACCCUAAGAAGUUGUGCUCCGAUUAAUGCAUGGUAUUUCACUGAGGCAUGAUUUUUCCCUACCUACAUUUGCCUUCUUUCUUUAAGAAGGACCGUCAUUCAAGUGAUUACCUGUGCAGUGAUGUGGAGGCCAUCCUGUUCACCAGGACUUGUUUUAGAGAAAUCCCCGUAUUUAUCUGGCGUAGGUAUUUGAUAUGCUGCUGGAGUUGAGAGGGAGAUCCCCAGGGAACGAGUAACAGAACAGCCCUGCAGGAAGCUAGGAGAGGAAUCCACUCUGCAGAGCUCAGGAGGAGGGGAGGUGGCAUUUGCAAAGGCUGUUUCACAAUAAGAGCGCUCCCUGAACCCUCAGUAAAGCUCACUAGAAAAAGAAAAAGAUGGUUGAGACUGGGUCUUUUGUGCCUUUGUGCAAAUUGGUGAAAGGGGUGAAUUUUGCAUGAGAAUUGGGGGCAGCAUUUGCACUUGAGGAGCCUAAGCAGUGGUCAGGUUGAAGGGGACUCUGAGGUCGAAAACCCCUAAGAGUUUACAGACCUGACAGAACUCUGGACCUGGACAAACUGGAAUUUGCCAUUUGAGCUAAUUCUGGGGGCAAGAAGUCUGCUGAUGUCUGAAUUAUAUAUGCCAUCAACACAGUUCAAGUUGUUCUCUUUAAAAUUUUGUGGGGGGGGGAGGGCAUCCAAAUUUCUAGUUUCACCACCAAUUUACCUUUAUUUCUUUCAUUUCUUUCCUUCUUAGGUUUCUAGCUGCCUAGUUCUGGGGUUCACUCAUUCUGUAAAUGUUUCUUUAGACAUGCUGUGUCCUGGGCAGGAACUAGUUUAAGUUCUGGGGAUACAGCAUUGUACAAGACAUCCAGGUCCCUGCUGUCAUGGGGCUUCCAUGAUAAGGGGAAGAGACAGAGAAUAAAUAUAUAAGAUUAUCUCAGAGUGCUACAGGCUAGAACAAUAAUAGGCUAGUGUGUGUGUGUUGUAUGGAGGCUGAGA